RNAcentral lists this ribosomal RNA (1270 nucleotides) under metagenome. Its description in RNAcentral is "bacterial SSU rRNA". It matches the Rfam family "Bacterial small subunit ribosomal RNA", at positions 237 to 1498 of the family's 1533-position model. The record is from RNAcentral.
CAGAUUAGCUAGUUGGUGAGGUAAAGGCUCACCAAGGCGACGAUCUGUAGCGGGUCUGAGAGGAUGAUCCGCCACACUGGAACUGAGACACGGUCCAGACUCCUACGGGAGGCAGCAGUGGGGAAUUUUGGACAAUGGGGGCAACCCUGAUCCAGCCAUGCCGCGUGAGUGAAGAAGGCCUUCGGGUUGUAAAGCUCUUUCGGCCGGGAAGAAAUCGUAUGGGUUAAUACCCUGUGCGGAUGACGGUACCGGCAUAAGAAGCACCGGCUAACUACGUGCCAGCAGCCGCGGUAAUACGUAGGGUGCGAGCGUUAAUCGGAAUUACUGGGCGUAAAGCGUGCGCAGGCGGUUUUGUAAGACAGGCGUGAAAUCCCCGGGCUCAACCUGGGAACUGCGCUUGUGACUGCAAGGCUAGAGUAUGGCAGAGGGGGGUGGAAUUCCACGUGUAGCAGUGAAAUGCGUAGAGAUGUGGAGGAACACCAAUGGCGAAGGCAGCCCCCUGGGCCAAUACUGACGCUCAUGCACGAAAGCGUGGGUAGCAAACAGGAUUAGAUACCCUGGUAGUCCACGCCCUAAACGAUGUCAACUAGGUGUUGGGUGGGUAAAACCAUUUAGUACCGGAGCUAACGCGUGAAGUUGACCGCCUGGGGAGUACGGCCGCAAGGUUAAAACUCAAAGGAAUUGACGGGGACCCGCACAAGCGGUGGAUGAUGUGGAUUAAUUCGAUGCAACGCGAAAAACCUUACCUACCCUUGACAUGUCCAGGAGCCUGAAGAGAUUUGGGUGUGCCCGAAAGGGAACUGGAACACAGGUGCUGCAUGGCUGUCGUCAGCUCGUGUCGUGAGAUGUUGGGUUAAGUCCCGCAACGAGCGCAACCCUUGUCGUUAAUUGCCAUCAUUUAGUUGGGCACUUUAACGAGACUGCCGGUGACAAACCGGAGGAAGGUGGGGAUGACGUCAAGUCCUCAUGGCCCUUAUGGGUAGGGCUUCACACGUCAUACAAUGGUCGGUACAAAGGGUUGCCAACCCGCGAGGGGGAGCCAAUCCCAGAAAGCCGAUCGUAGUCCGGAUCGCAGGCUGCAACUCGCCUGCGUGAAGUCGGAAUCGCUAGUAAUCGUGGAUCAGCAUGUCACGGUGAAUACGUUCCCGGGUCUUGUACACACCGCCCGUCACACCAUGGGAGCGGGUUCCGCCAGAAGUAGGUAGCCUAACCGCAAGGGGGGCGCUUACCACGGCGGGGUUCGUGACUGGGGUGAAGUCGUAACAAGGUA